GUAGGGAAUAUUGCACAAUGGAGGAAACUCUGAUGCAGCGACGUCGCGUGAGUGAUGAAGGCCUUCGGGUCGUAAAGCUCUGUCGCCGGGGAAUAACACAAUGAAGGUACCCUGUAAGAAAGGAUCGGCUAACUUCGUGCCAGCAGCCGCGGUAAGACGAGGGAUCCUAGCGUUGUUCGGAAUCAUUGGGCGUAAAGCGGAUGUAGGUGGCUAUGUAAGUCAGAUGUGAAAGCCUGGGGCUCAACCCCAGAAGUGCAUUUGAUACUGCGUAGCUUGAGUGUCGGAGAGGUUACUAGAAUUGUUGGUGUAGUGGUGAAAUACGUAGAUAUCGACAGGAAUACCGGAGGCGAAGGCGGGUAACUGGCCGAACACUGACACUGAGAUCCGAAAGCGUGGGGAUCAAACAGGAUUAGAUACCCGAGUAGUCC
RNAcentral lists this ribosomal RNA (428 nucleotides) under uncultured bacterium. RNAcentral describes it as "partial 16S ribosomal RNA". It matches the Rfam family "Bacterial small subunit ribosomal RNA", at positions 354 to 796 of the family's 1533-position model. The record is from RNAcentral.